CCUACGGGUGGCUGCAGUGGGGAAUAUUGCACAAUGGGCGCAAGCCUGAUGCAGCCAUGCCGCGUGUGUGAAGAAGGCCUUCGGGUUGUAAAGCACUUUCAGCGGGGAGGAAGGCGGUGAGGUUAAUAACCUCAUCGAUUGACGUUACCCGCAGAAGAAGCACCGGCUAACUCCGUGCCAGCAGCCGCGGUAAUACGGAGGGUGCAAGCGUUAAUCGGAAUUGCUGGGCGUAAAGCGCACGCAGGCGGUCUGUCAAGUCGGAUGUGAAAUCCCCGGGCUCAACCUGGGAACUGCAUUCGAAACUGGCAGGCUAGAGUCUUGUAGAGGGGGGUAGAAUUCCAGGUGUAGCGGUGAAAUGCGUAGAGAUCUGGAGGAAUACCGGUGGCGAAGGCGGCCCCCUGGACAAAGACUGACGCUCAGGUGCGAAAGCGUGGGGAGCAAACAGGAUUAGAUACCCGAGUAGUC
This 465-nucleotide ribosomal RNA is filed under the name uncultured Klebsiella sp. RNAcentral's name for it is "bacterial SSU rRNA". It matches the Rfam family "Bacterial small subunit ribosomal RNA", at positions 338 to 795 of the family's 1533-position model. Lineage: Bacteria; Pseudomonadati; Pseudomonadota; Gammaproteobacteria; Enterobacterales; Enterobacteriaceae. The record is from RNAcentral.